GCAGUCGAGCGAGAAGGUCUUCGGACUGAGUAUAGCGGCGGACGGGUGAGUAACGCGUAGGAAUUUGCCCAGUAGUGGGGGACAACUCGGGGAAACUCGAGCUAAUACCGCAUACGCCCUAUGGGGGAAAGCAGGGGAUCUUCGGACCUUGCGCUAUUGGAUAAGCCUGCGUCGGAUUAGCUAGUUGGUGGGGUAAGGGCCCACCAAGGCGACGAUCCGUAGCUGGUCUGAGAGGAUGAUCAGCCACACUGGGACUGAGACACGGCCCAGACUCCUACGGGAGGCAGCAGUGGGGAAUAUUGGACAAUGGGGGAAACCCUGA
RNAcentral lists this ribosomal RNA (322 nucleotides) under uncultured Gammaproteobacteria bacterium. RNAcentral describes it as "bacterial SSU rRNA". It matches the Rfam family "Bacterial small subunit ribosomal RNA", at positions 57 to 386 of the family's 1533-position model. The record is from RNAcentral. Lineage: Bacteria; Pseudomonadati; Pseudomonadota; Gammaproteobacteria.